CGAUCGGGGCUGGAAAGUUUUUCGGUUGAAGAUGACUUCGCGGCCUAUCAGCUUGUUGGUGAGGUAAUGGCUUACCAAGGCGACAGACGGGUAGCCGGCCUGAGAGGGCGACCGGCCACACUGGGACUGAGACACGGCCCACCACUCCUACGGGAGGCAGCAGUGGGGAAUAUUGGGCAAUGGAGGAAACUCUGACCCAGCGACGCCGCGUGCGGGAUGAAGGCCUUCGGGUUGUAAACCGCUUUCAGCAGGGAAUAAGCGCAAGUGAAGGUACCUGCAGAAGAAGCACCGGCUAACUAUGUGCCAGCAGCCGCGGUAAUACAUAGGGUGCAAGCGUUGUCCGGAAUUAUUGGGCGUAAAGAGCUCGUAGGUGGUUUGUUACGUCGAUCGUGAAAUUCAGGGGCUCAACCCCUGACUUGCGGUCGAUACGGGCAAGCUAGAGUUUGGUAGGGGAGACUGGAAUUCCUGGUGUAGCGGUGGAAUGCGCAGAUAUCAGGAGGAACACCGAUGGCGAAGGCAGGUCUCUGGGCCAAUACUGACACUGAGGAGCGAAAGCGUG
This 559-nucleotide ribosomal RNA is filed under the name uncultured Actinomycetes bacterium. RNAcentral's name for it is "bacterial SSU rRNA". It matches the Rfam family "Bacterial small subunit ribosomal RNA", at positions 194 to 763 of the family's 1533-position model. Lineage: Bacteria; Bacillati; Actinomycetota; Actinomycetes. The record is from RNAcentral.